GCUUCUAUGAUUGCUUCUGCUAGCACGGCAAACAAGUCCAAUACUUCAAAGUUAAGCAACCACCGUCCCUCCUUCUUAAGAGCUCACUCUCACCCUCACCCUCACCCUACACCACCAAAGGAACCUCCCUCUGCAAUUCCAUAUAGCAACCACGGCCACCGCAACUUCUUCUUCAAACUUCAACUGCAAAACUUACAACAAGUUAAUCGAAUUUACUUAUGGCACCCAUCACCAGCCUCGUCUGCUUCGUUCUCACUCACUUUGGUUUUCUCUGGACACCCACAUUUUUUCAAAAUUUCAGGUAUGAAAACCCCAUUGAGCUUGAGCGAGGUACAUUCCGAAGUUACAGCUACCUGCAUUUAAUUGUUGUUCAAACUUAAUCAAGACCAUAUAUAUAUAUAUAUAUGUAUGUAUGUAUGUAUGUUGAAGGAAUCAAAGUUCGACAUGACCGGCUACUUUUGAUCUCGUUCGAUGAUGUGAUCAUGGAGGGCAUUGUUUGGUUCUGGAGCUGCAGAUGGUGUUCUGGUCAUGCCAAACAUUAUUGUAUAACAUAUGAAUGUAUUGUACAUAUGUUUUGUUAUGCAUCGUCUAUGAUCAGGAGAAUUAGUCUAUUGUAUUGGAUACGCAGCAGGACAUUCGCUUAUAUUGUUAGUAAAUUCUCUAAUCAUUUUAACUUGUAAGUUUUUUGUGGGUGUAGAUAAUUUGGGAUUGAUUCUCUAAUAGGUCGUUUGACAA
Molecule: non-coding RNA, 735 nt
Organism: Malus domestica (apple)
Lineage: Eukaryota; Viridiplantae; Streptophyta; Magnoliopsida; Rosales; Rosaceae
Source: RefSeq, a predicted model, not a curated record